Molecule: ribosomal RNA, 301 nt
Filed under: uncultured bacterium
Lineage: Bacteria
Description: partial 16S ribosomal RNA
Rfam family: Bacterial small subunit ribosomal RNA
Source: RNAcentral
CAGCCGCCGCGGGAAUACGGAGGGGGCUAGCGUUGUUCGGAAUUACUGGGCGUAAAGCGCACGUAGGCGGCUUUGUAAGUUAGAGGUGAAAGCCUGGAGCUCAACUCCAGAAUUGCCUUUAAGACUGCAUCGCUUGAAUCCGGGAGAGGUGAGUGGAAUUCCGAGUGUAGAGGUGAAAUUCGUAGAUAUUCGGAAGAACACCAGUGGCGAAGGCGGCUCACUGGACCGGCAUUGACGCUGAGGUGCGAAAGCGUGGGGAGCAAACAGGAUUAGAUACCCCUGUAGUCCCUGUCUCUUAUAC